RNAcentral lists this ribosomal RNA (478 nucleotides) under uncultured bacterium. RNAcentral describes it as "partial 16S ribosomal RNA". It matches the Rfam family "Bacterial small subunit ribosomal RNA", at positions 28 to 523 of the family's 1533-position model. The record is from RNAcentral.
GACGAACGCUGGCGGCGUGCUUAACACAUGCAAGUCGAGCGGAGAGGCCCUUCGGGGUACUCGAGCGGCGAACGGGUGAGUAACACGUGAGUAAUCUGCCCUGCACUCUGGGAUAGCCUUGGGAAACUGAGAUUAAUACCGGAUAUGUUCACUUCCCGCAUGGGAUGGUGGUGGAAAGUUUUUCGGUGCAGGAUGUGCUCGCGGCCUAUCAGCUUGUUGGUGGGGUAAUGGCCUACCAAGGCUUCGACGGGUAGCCGGCCUGAGAGGGUGACCGGCCACACUGGGACUGAGACACGGCCCAGACUCCUACGGGAGGCAGCAGUGGAGAAUAUUGGACAAUGGGCGGAAGCCUGAUCCAGCAACGCCGCGUGAGGGAUGACGGCCUUCGGGUUGUAAACCUCUUUCAGCACAGACGAAGCGCAAGUGACGGUAUGUGCAGAAGAAGGACCGGCCAACUACGUGCCAGCCGCCGCCGUAA